GAACCUUACCAGGCCUUGACAUGCAGAGAACUUUCCAGAGAUGGAUUGGUGCCUUCGGGAACUCUGACACAGGUGCUGCAUGGCUGUCGUCAGCUCGUGUCGUGAGAUGUUGGGUUAAGUCCGUAACGAGCGCAACCCUUGUCCUUAGUUACCAGCACGUUAUGGUGGGCACUCUAAGGAGACUGCCGGUGACAAACCGGAGGAAGGUGGGGGAUGACGUCAAGUCAUCAUGGCCCUUACGGCCUGGGCUACACACGUGCUACAAUGGUCGGUACAAAGGGUUGCCAAGCCGCGAGGUGGAGCUAAUCCCAUAAAACCGAUCGUAGUCCGGAUCGCAGUCUGCAACUCGACUGCGUGAAGUCGGAAUCGCUAGUAAUCGUGAAUCAGAAUGUCACGGUGAAUACGUUCCCGGGCCUU
This 417-nucleotide ribosomal RNA is filed under the name uncultured Pseudomonas sp. RNAcentral's name for it is "bacterial SSU rRNA". It matches the Rfam family "Bacterial small subunit ribosomal RNA", at positions 966 to 1382 of the family's 1533-position model. The record is from RNAcentral. Lineage: Bacteria; Pseudomonadati; Pseudomonadota; Gammaproteobacteria; Pseudomonadales; Pseudomonadaceae.